CUUUUUGGACGACUUCUUCUUUUUCCCUUUCUUUCUCUUCUUUCUUCUUCCUCCCUCUGUUUCUAUUCUGUCACAGCUUUUCCAUUUUCUUCUUCCUCCCUUUGUAAACACUGAAGUCAUCGAGCCCAGAUCCCGUAGGCUCCGUCUCAGUUCUCUCGCAACCUCCAUCUCAGUUCCUUCGCAGCUACCGGUUAAUCACCAAAAUCGAGAAAACCAAACCGUUUGACCGGUUAACCGGAGUUGGUGGUUCAGCUCCGGUGCCAGAAAUCUCUCCACCGAAAGCUCAGCUCUAGUUGAACAUAAGAACUCUACAGAGGAUAAAAAAAACUUUCUUUUCAGCUUUCAUCAAUGGCAGAUUUUGGAGUAUUUCCCCAAAGUCUACUUAUUUGAAGAUUCUUUUGCAUAUAUAUAAGAUGGAUCUCGAACUGAAGCUGAACAACUGAACAAGAGCAACCAGGAGAAUUCUGAAGAAAGAAAUGAACAAGAGCUUCCGCAAAACGAAAAUAGUGAGACCCGGAAGAUUCAUAGGAAUGAAAUCAGCUCAUCUGAAGGCACAGACGUUGGGGUUUUCAACUUCGACAACGAAUAUCGUGCAGGCUGUAUUGAUGGUCUUGAAGCAAGGAGGGGUCGAAACUACAACAUUGAGGGCAAUAGAAUCCAUUCAGACAAAGGCCAGCGGGUUGGGAUCGGCAAUUUUGGCAACAACUACUCCAUGUCCAACUUAUCAUUUUUUCUUGGUGGGCUUAUUAUUCUAGCUUUUGCUAUAUAUUAUAUAUAUAGCGAAGCUAGCGGUACGAACAACAAGAAGGAAAUAUAAAUAAGAUAAAAAGGAAAGGGGCUGUUGAAUUAAUAGGCUUGAAUUUCCAAGAAGAAAAAAAACAAGAGAUGUAUGGUUUGGAAAUUUAUGGCCACCAGAGCUCCUACACUCGAACUUUUCUCUGAAUCUGAAUGUUAUUUCUCUUAUAUUUAUGUAUUUCUUUUCUUCUUC
RNA transcript from Prunus avium (sweet cherry), 988 nucleotides. RefSeq lists it as uncharacterized. NCBI's taxonomy places the organism in Eukaryota, Viridiplantae, Streptophyta, Magnoliopsida, Rosales, Rosaceae. The record is from RefSeq and is a predicted model, not a curated record.